CUAUUCUCUUCAAUUCCCCCUUCCUCCCUUUCCUACGAAGGCCUGGGUUAAGGGUGGUUUGCUAGAGUUAGGAUUUUCAGUUAUCAGGGUGUAGAAAAGAGGCACUUCUUCAUGGGGGUUGUUCAUGGUACCAGUGGAAAAUCCUGAAAGUGCAUUUGUUUAUGUCUACCUAAGUUAAAGUUCUAAAUUCUGAACGGAAUCCAACAAUCUAAUUGUUGCCUCUCUACUGCAAAGUAGGAAGAAAUGUCAUCUCUUUUGUUCUAGAGAUAAUUUUGUUAUCUAGAGAUAAUCUGUUAAUGUAGUCCAAUUUGCUUUCUUGGUAAUACAUCGCACCGUUGAUUCUUAUUAUACCCAUGGGAAAUAUCACCUCUAUGUCUUUUUUUAAAAGACUGCAAUUAAAGCCACAUAAGCCUGUCUUACGCUUAAGUAAGGUUUCUCCUUUCCUUUUUAACUUCUAUGUUGUGACUCAGAAUCUAUGCUCACAUGGAAUGCUGGUGGUUGACAAACAGGACUGUGUUCCCUAGCUACAAAAAACAGUAUCCGUAUUCCCGUUUUGAAGGGGCCAAAAAAGAGAAAUUGGUUGAUAAUGUUGAUAUGGGAGAACUGAAGACCCAGGGCUACAAAAAUUUCUCAAAGUACAGAAGUAGUAAAUGACAGAGCCUGGAAUGAAAGCAGGCAGGCUAAUAGCAGAGUUCAUUCUCCUAAAUCCUCCCUUCACAUUUUCAAGUAUUACUGUUAUAAUGAUUUUAUAAUUAUAAAAUUCAGGACUGCCUUGCCUA
Molecule: long non-coding RNA, 779 nt
Filed under: Mustela putorius furo (domestic ferret)
Lineage: Eukaryota; Metazoa; Chordata; Mammalia; Carnivora; Mustelidae
Description: lncRNA (ENSMPUG00000031624.1)
Source: RNAcentral